GAGGCAACAUUGACUUUGUUUUAGUUUGGGAAUCCUUAUUAUUGGUUCAUAAGUUGGAUCAGAGAACACUGGGACAAGAAGGAUCUGAGAGAUAUUCAGUCUUCAGCCCAGCCUCGUAGAUUUAUAGAUAAGAAGCAGAAGCCCAGAAAGCUUAAGUGACCCCCACAAGCACACAUUGCUGGCUCUUCUGGACACAUCCCUAGACUUCAGAGAUACAGCAAGAAAGUUGAUUCUCACUCUUUUCUGCUACUGAACAGAAAGCAUGAAAAUGACCAUGGAGCUGUAUAAUUGGCCCUGAAGAAGAAACAAAGAGUCAUCUCAGCACUGAUUGCAUCUGGAAAAGAACCAUGUGACUCAAUAGAUGCAGAGAAAGCCUUUGACAAAAUUCAACAUCCAUUUAUGAUAAAAACUCUCCAGAAAGCAGGAAUAGAAGGAACAUACCUCAACAUAAUCAAAGCUAUAUAUGACAAACCCAC
Bubalus bubalis (water buffalo) is the source of this 476-nucleotide long non-coding RNA. RefSeq lists it as uncharacterized. Lineage: Eukaryota; Metazoa; Chordata; Mammalia; Artiodactyla; Bovidae. The record is from RefSeq and is a predicted model, not a curated record. The transcript is spliced from 3 exons.